GUCUCUUUGGAGACACUCGAUAAAAUUGGAACGAUACAAAGAAUAUUAUUAGCAUGGACCCUACGCAAGGAUGACACGUACAAAUCAAGAAAUGGUCCAAAAAAAAUUUCU
Picea glauca (white spruce) is the source of this 111-nucleotide non-coding RNA. The record is from Rfam. Lineage: Eukaryota; Viridiplantae; Streptophyta; Pinopsida; Pinales; Pinaceae.